AUGAACGCUGGCGGCGUGCCUAAUACAUGCAAGUCGCGCGAACAGACGAGGAGCUUGCUCCUCUGACGUCAGCGGCGGACGGGUGAGUAACACGUGGAUAACCUACCUAUAAGACUGGGAUAACUUCGGGAAACCGGAGCUAAUACCGGAUAAUAUAUUGAACCGCAUGGUUCAAUAGUGAAAGACGGUUUUGCUGUCACUUAUAGAUGGAUCCGCGCCGCAUUAGCUAGUUGGUAAGGUAACGGCUUACCAAGGCAACGAUGCGUAGCCGACCUGAGAGGGUGAUCGGCCACACUGGAACUGAGACACGGUCCAGACUCCUACGGGAGGCAGCAGUAGGGAAUCUUCCGCAAUGGGCGAAAGCCUGACGGAGCAACGCCGCGUGAGUGAUGAAGGUCUUCGGAUCGUAAAACUCUGUUAUUAGGGAAGAACAAAUGUGUAAGUAACUAUGCACGUCUUGACGGUACCUAAUCAGAAAGCCACGGCUAACUACGUG
This 496-nucleotide ribosomal RNA is filed under the name uncultured bacterium. RNAcentral describes it as "partial 16S ribosomal RNA". It matches the Rfam family "Bacterial small subunit ribosomal RNA", at positions 29 to 507 of the family's 1533-position model. The record is from RNAcentral.